RNAcentral lists this ribosomal RNA (253 nucleotides) under uncultured bacterium. RNAcentral describes it as "partial 16S ribosomal RNA". It matches the Rfam family "Bacterial small subunit ribosomal RNA", at positions 524 to 776 of the family's 1533-position model. The record is from RNAcentral.
UACGUAGGUGGCAAGCGUUGUCCGGAAUCAUUGGGCGUAAAGAGCGCGCAGGCGGCUUGGCAAGUCGGGUGUGAAAUCCCGGGGCUCAACCCCGUGACUGCAUCCGAUACUGUCAGGCUAGAGGUAGGUAGGGGAGAUCGGAAUUCCUGGUGUAGCGGUGAAAUGCGCAGAUAUCAGGAGGAACACCGGUGGCGAAGGCGGAUCUCUGGGCCUUACCUGACGCUCAGGCGCGAAAGCUAGGGGAGCGAACAGG